This 158-nucleotide ribosomal RNA is filed under the name Penicillium daejeonium. RNAcentral describes it as "5.8S ribosomal RNA". It matches the Rfam family "5.8S ribosomal RNA". From Rfam's summary of the family: 5.8S ribosomal RNA (5.8S rRNA) is a component of the large subunit of the eukaryotic ribosome. Lineage: Eukaryota; Fungi; Ascomycota; Eurotiomycetes; Eurotiales; Aspergillaceae. The record is from RNAcentral.
AAACUUUCAACAACGGAUCUCUUGGUUCCGGCAUCGAUGAAGAACGCAGCGAAAUGCGAUAAUUAAUGUGAAUUGCAGAAUUCAGUGAAUCAUCGAGUCUUUGAACGCACAUUGCGCCCCCUGGUAUUCCGGGGGGCAUGCCUGUCCGAGCGUCAUUA